RNAcentral lists this non-coding RNA (181 nucleotides) under Clostridium sp. RNAcentral describes it as "6S RNA". It matches the Rfam family "6S / SsrS RNA". Rfam says of the family: E. coli 6S RNA was the first non coding RNA to be sequenced, but its function was unknown until recently. It consists of 184 nucleotides that fold into an extended hairpin structure with a large single-stranded internal bulge. Lineage: Bacteria; Bacillati; Bacillota; Clostridia; Eubacteriales; Clostridiaceae. The record is from RNAcentral.
UAUAACCUGGGAUGUGCGAUAACUCUUACCGGUUUUGAUCCUACAUAUGACAAUAGGGAUUCCGAUAUCUUCUGGCGUAUGUCAUGCCUCCACCGCGUGGAAGACAGAAAGCAGAGUGUGGUUGCCCACCUGGCGAACUGCUGGGAGUCAAUAUGGUAAGAGCCGGCAUCUUGGGCUAUCA